Molecule: ribosomal RNA, 299 nt
Filed under: uncultured bacterium
Lineage: Bacteria
Description: partial 16S ribosomal RNA
Rfam family: Bacterial small subunit ribosomal RNA
Source: RNAcentral
CUAUGCGCCUUGCCAGCCCGCUCAGGUGUGCCAGCCGCCGCGGUAAUACGUAGGUGGCGAGCGUUGUCCGGAUUUACUGGGCGUAAAGGGAGCGUAGGCGGACUUUUAAGUGAGAUGUGAAAUACUCGGGCUCAACUUGAGUGCUGCAUUUCAAACUGGAAGUCUAGAGUGCAGGAGAGGAGAAUGGAAUUCCUAGUGUAGCGGUGAAAUGCGUAGAGAUUAGGAAGAACACCAGUGGCGAAGGCGGCUUACUGGACUGUAAAUGACGCUGAGGCUCGAAAGCGUGGGGAGCAAACAGG